This 1245-nucleotide ribosomal RNA is filed under the name metagenome. RNAcentral's name for it is "bacterial SSU rRNA". It matches the Rfam family "Bacterial small subunit ribosomal RNA", at positions 8 to 1301 of the family's 1533-position model. The record is from RNAcentral.
AGAGUUUGAUCCUGGCUCAGGAUGAACGCUGGCGGCGUGCUUAACACAUGCAAGUCGAACGAACCUUCGGGUUAGUGGCGGACGGGUGAGUAACGCGUGAGAAUCUGCCCUCAGGAGGGGGAUAACGGCUGGAAACGGCCGCUAAUACCCCAUAUGCCGAGAGGUGAAAUGAAUUUCGCCUGAGGAUGAGCUCGCGUCUGAUUAGCUAGUUGGUGGGGUAAGAGCCUACCAAGGCAUCGAUCAGUAGCUGGUCUGAGAGGAUGAUCAGCCACACUGGGACUGAGACACGGCCCAGACUCCUACGGGAGGCAGCAGUGGGGAAUUUUCCGCAAUGGGCGAAAGCCUGACGGAGCAACGCCGCGUGAGGGAUGAAGGCCUCUGGGCUGUAAACCUCUUUUAUCAAGGAAGAAGAUCUGACGGUACUUGAUGAAUAAGCCACGGCUAAUUCCGUGCCAGCAGCCGCGGUAAUACGGGAGUGGCAAGCGUUAUCCGGAAUUAUUGGGCGUAAAGCGUCCGCAGGCGGCCUGAUAAGUCUGUUGUCAAAGCGUGGAGCUUAACUCCAUUUCGGCAAUGGAAACUGUGAGGCUUGAGUGUGGUAGGGGCAGAGGGAAUUCCCGGUGUAGCGGUGAAAUGCGUAGAUAUCGGGAAGAACACCAGUGGCGAAGGCGCUCUGCUGGGCCAUAACUGACGCUCAUGGACGAAAGCCAGGGGAGCGAAAGGGAUUAGAUACCCCUGUAGUCCUGGCCGUAAACGAUGAACACUAGGUGUCGGGGGAAUCGACCCCCUCGGUGUCGUAGCCAACGCGUUAAGUGUUCCGCCUGGGGAGUACGCACGCAAGUGUGAAACUCAAAGGAAUUGACGGGGGCCCGCACAAGCGGUGGAGUAUGUGGUUUAAUUCGAUGCAACGCGAAAAACCUUACCAGGGUUUGACAUCCUGCGAAUCCCUUGGAAACUUGGGAGUGCCUUCGGGAGCGCAGAGACAGGUGGUGCAUGGCUGUCGUCAGCUCGUGUCGUGAGAUGUUGGGUUAAGUCCCGCAACGAGCGCAACCCACGUCUUUAGUUGCCAGCAUUGAGUUGGGCACUCUAGAGAGACCGCCGGUGAUAAACCGGAGGAAGGUGUGGAUGACGUCAAGUCAUCAUGGCCCUUAUGGGAUGGGCUACACACGUGCUACAAUGCUACGGACAAAGGGCAGCAAACUCGCGAGAGCUAGCAAAUCCCAUAAACCGUGGCUCAGUUCAGAUCGU